AGAGUUUGAUCAUGGCUCAGAUUGAACGCUGGCGGAAUGCUUUACACAUGCAAGUCGAACGGCAGCACGGGGCAACCUGGUGGCGAGUGGCGAACGGGUGAGUAAUACAUCGGAACGUGCCCAAUCGUGGGGAUAACGUAGCGAAAGUUACGCUAAUACCGCAUACGAUCUACGGAUGAAAGCGGGGGAUCGCAAGACCUCGCGCGAAUGGAGCGGCCGAUGUCAGGUUAGGUAGUUGGUGGGGUAAAGGCUCACCAAGCCAACGAUCUGUAGCUGGUCUGAGAGGACGACCAGCCACACUGGAACUGAGACACGGUCCAGACUCCUACGGGAGGCAGCAGUGGGGAAUUUUGGACAAUGGGCGCAAGCCUGAUCCAGCCAUUCCGCGUGCAGGAUGAAGGCCUUCGGGUUGUAAACUGCUUUGUACGGAACGAAACGGUCUGCCCUAAUACGGUGGGCUAAUGACGGUACCGUAAGAAUAAGCACCGGCUAACUACGUG
This 500-nucleotide ribosomal RNA is filed under the name uncultured bacterium. RNAcentral describes it as "bacterial SSU rRNA". It matches the Rfam family "Bacterial small subunit ribosomal RNA", at positions 8 to 507 of the family's 1533-position model. The record is from RNAcentral.